Cristinia sonorae is the source of this 99-nucleotide non-coding RNA. The record is from the annotation of a GenBank genome assembly. Lineage: Eukaryota; Fungi; Basidiomycota; Agaricomycetes; Agaricales; Stephanosporaceae.
CCUUCGAUAGCUCAGCUGGAAGAGCGCAAGACUGUAAUUGGUUACCUGCAAUCGCCCAUCUUCAUCUUGAGGCCGCUGGUUCGAUCCCGGCUCGAAGGA